This 301-nucleotide ribosomal RNA is filed under the name uncultured bacterium. Its description in RNAcentral is "partial 16S ribosomal RNA". It matches the Rfam family "Bacterial small subunit ribosomal RNA", at positions 509 to 807 of the family's 1533-position model. The record is from RNAcentral.
CAGUCGCCACGGUAAUACGGAGGGUGCAAGCGUUAAUCGGAAUUACUGGGCGUAAAGCGCACGCAGGCGGUUUGUUAAGUCAGAUGUGAAAUCCCCGAGCUUAACUUGGGAACUGCAUUCGAAACUGGCAAACUAGAGUCUUGUAGAGGGGGGUAGAAUUCCAGGUGUAGCGGUGAAAUGCGUAGAUAUGCGGAGGAACACCGAUGGCGAAGGCAAUCCCCUGGACCUGUACUGACGCUCAUGCACGAAAGCGUGGGGAGCAAACAGGAUUAGAUACCCGGGUAGUCCCUGUCUCUUAUAC